Molecule: long non-coding RNA, 430 nt
Filed under: Dromaius novaehollandiae (emu)
Lineage: Eukaryota; Metazoa; Chordata; Aves; Casuariiformes; Dromaiidae
Description: lncRNA (ENSDNVG00000001926.1)
Source: RNAcentral
GGGGAAUUUGCUUGGAGAGAUGGAAAUGGUGUUUUGAAUGCUCUUUCUCUCCUUAUCUUCUAACCUCUUGUCCUUUAUUGUCUCUUAUAGUUCAUUGUGUCCUGAAUCCCUGCUAGCAUCUUUGCGAAUUUUCCAGUUCUCAUGGAAGAAGUUCCUAUCGCUAACUUGGCUGUAGCAUGGACUUAAGACAACUUUACAUGUGCUCUGUGGUUCUGGACUCCUUGGGAAGCGCUGCCUAUGAAGUGAUACCUAAGAUCAGGAAGGGAGACCUUCCACUGAGGAAAGCACCCCUGGGUCUCUGCAUAUCUGAAGCUGUUUUUGCUGUUUCCGUGUUCCCCUCCAGUCUGUAACAGAAGUUGAUGUUCAACAGCUGCCUCAGGAUUAGCCUCUUAGAGCUAACACCCUGGUGAGAGGGGGAAGAGAAGGUUAC